This is a non-coding RNA of Homo sapiens (human), 117 nucleotides long. It matches the Rfam family "Metazoan signal recognition particle RNA". Rfam says of the family: The signal recognition particle (SRP) is a universally conserved ribonucleoprotein. It is involved in the co-translational targeting of proteins to membranes. NCBI's taxonomy places the organism in Eukaryota, Metazoa, Chordata, Mammalia, Primates, Hominidae. The record is from Rfam.
GCUGGGCGUGGUGGCUCAUGCCUGUAAUCCCAGCACUUUGGGAGGCUGAGGUGGGUGGAUCACCUGAGGUCAGGAGUUCGAGACCAGCCUGGCCAACAUGGUGAAACCCCAUCUCUA